This 85-nucleotide small RNA is filed under the name Arabidopsis thaliana (thale cress). Its description in RNAcentral is "ATSL189770". The record is from RNAcentral. Lineage: Eukaryota; Viridiplantae; Streptophyta; Magnoliopsida; Brassicales; Brassicaceae.
AAAUAAUCAAUGUAGGUGGAACAAUAUAUAGACUAGAUCAUAACCCGUGCUAUACAGCACGGGCAUUAAUAUUUUAUAUAAAUUA